UACGAACCGUGCGAACGUUAUUCGGAAUCACUGGGCUUAAAGCGCGUGUAGGCGGGUCGGCACGUCGGUCGCUGAAAUCCCCCGGCUCAACCGGGGAAGGGGCGCCGAUACGACCGGCCUGGAGGGGCGUAGGGGGGGCUGGAACUUCCGGUGGAGCGGUGAAAUGCGUUGAGAUCGGAAGGAACGCCCGUGGCGAAAGCGAGCCCCUGGACGUCUACUGACGCUGAGACGCGAAAGCCAGGGGAGCGAACGGG
This 254-nucleotide ribosomal RNA is filed under the name uncultured bacterium. RNAcentral describes it as "partial 16S ribosomal RNA". It matches the Rfam family "Bacterial small subunit ribosomal RNA", at positions 524 to 776 of the family's 1533-position model. The record is from RNAcentral.